RNAcentral lists this ribosomal RNA (635 nucleotides) under uncultured Actinomycetes bacterium. Its description in RNAcentral is "bacterial SSU rRNA". It matches the Rfam family "Bacterial small subunit ribosomal RNA", at positions 234 to 885 of the family's 1533-position model. Lineage: Bacteria; Bacillati; Actinomycetota; Actinomycetes. The record is from RNAcentral.
CGCCUGGGGAGUACGGGUGAGGUAACGGCUCACCAAGGCAUUGACGGGUAGCUGGUCUGAGAGGAUGAUCAGCCACACUGGGACUGAGACACGGCCCAGACUCCUACGGGAGGCAGCAGUAGGGAAUAUUGCACAAUGGGCGAAAGCCUGAUGCAGCAACGCCGCGUGCGGGAAGAAGGCCCUAGGGUUGUAAACCGCUUUCAGCAGGGAAGAAAAUGACGGUACCUGCAGAAGAAGGUGCGGCCAACUACGUGCCAGCAGCCGCGGUGACACGUAGGCACCAAGCGUUGUCCGGAUUUAUUGGGCGUAAAGAGCUCGUAGGCGGUUCAGUAAGUCGGGUGUGAAAACUCUGGGCUCAACCCAGAGACGCCACUCGAUACUGCUGUGGCUCGAGUGCGGUAGGGGAGCGGGGAAUUCCUAGUGUAGCGGUGAAAUGCGCAGAUAUUAGGAGGAACACCAGUGGCGAAGGCGCCGCUCUGGGCCGUAACUGACGCUGAGGAGCGAAAGCGUGGGUAGCAAACAGGAUUAGAUACCCUGGUAGUCCACGCCGUAAACGUUGGGCACUAGGUGUGGGUCUCAACCAACGAGAUCCGCGCCGUCGCUAACGCAUUAAGUGCCCCGCCUGGGGAGUACGG